Molecule: long non-coding RNA, 373 nt
Organism: Phyllostomus hastatus (greater spear-nosed bat)
Lineage: Eukaryota; Metazoa; Chordata; Mammalia; Chiroptera; Phyllostomidae
Exons: 3
Source: RefSeq, a predicted model, not a curated record
UGUCUGUUCUCCACCUUGAGUUGUGAAAGAGUAACCUUAAUUGAGCACAGUUUGUAUGGAAGUGAAUUGGAAUAGAUUUGUUCCAGGCUGAAAAAUGAUUUCUCCCUGAAAAUAAGACAGACUUGAGAAUGUGGUAACAUCCAGCCAUCUGAAAAUGCAGGUAAGAAGAGCAGCUGCCCUCCACUCAGGCUAUAGCAGUUGACAUCCUUCAGCUUCCUCCUUCAGGUUCAGCAGGUUUUACAGAUGACAUGAGUUCCAGGUUUCACUUACCAGAAUCAAGAGGCAACUGGAAGCCAAUUUUGUGUGCUCAGGGAUGGUGGAAAACACUGACAAAAUCAAGCAACCAAAUACAAGGAGAAAGCUGUAAAACAAC